AUGCAGGGGGAAGGGGGCCGCAUAGAGCCUCUGGGCAGUGUGAGUGACCCCUCUGCCUCGUCAGCCAGAAGUUGCCACUCACGAGCCUCCAGGGGAGUCAAGCAGGUGAUGUGCGUCCGUCAGCAGCUACACAGUACCUUCGCUGGAGGGCUCGCAUACCACGCCCCCCAUGGGCCACUCGCUGACCUGCAGGUGGGUGCUUGCGGGGAAGUUCCAAGAGUCAGGGUCAACUCAGCUUUGGCUAGAGAAUCAGGGUCCAAAUCAUGGGACUCAUUCAUGAAGAACCACCGAUUCUUGCUCUCGGAAGGGGCAGCAGGCAUAGGAGAUACUUAGAGUGUCAUACCCACAGCACCAAGAUUUCUUUCUUAUUUUAUUUAUUUAUUUUUUAAAGAUUUUAUUUACUUAUUUGUCACAGAGAGAGAGUAAGAGAGAGAGAGAGAGAGAGCCCAAGCAGGGAAGGGAGCAGGCAGAGGAAGAAGCAGGAUCCCCACUGAGCAGGGAGCCCGAUGCAGGGCUCAAUCCUAGGACCCUGGGAUCAUGACCUGUGCCGAAGACAG
This 557-nucleotide long non-coding RNA is filed under the name Mustela putorius furo (domestic ferret). RNAcentral describes it as "lncRNA (ENSMPUG00000027276.1)". Lineage: Eukaryota; Metazoa; Chordata; Mammalia; Carnivora; Mustelidae. The record is from RNAcentral.